ACUUUAAUUGAAGAGUUUGAUCAUGGCUCAGAUUGAACGCUGGCGGCAGGCCUAACACAUGCAAGUCGAGCGGUAACAUUUCAAAAGCUUGCUU
This 94-nucleotide ribosomal RNA is filed under the name Shewanella algae. Its description in RNAcentral is "partial 16S ribosomal RNA". It matches the Rfam family "Bacterial small subunit ribosomal RNA", at positions 1 to 94 of the family's 1533-position model. Lineage: Bacteria; Pseudomonadati; Pseudomonadota; Gammaproteobacteria; Alteromonadales; Shewanellaceae. The record is from RNAcentral.